RNAcentral lists this ribosomal RNA (468 nucleotides) under uncultured bacterium. Its description in RNAcentral is "partial 16S ribosomal RNA". It matches the Rfam family "Bacterial small subunit ribosomal RNA", at positions 28 to 507 of the family's 1533-position model. The record is from RNAcentral.
GACGAACGCUGGCGGCGUGCUUAACACAUGCAAGUCGAACGGAAAGGCCCUGCUUUUGUGGGGUGCUCGAGUGGCGAACGGGUGAGUAACACGUGAGUAACCUGCCCUUGACUUUGGGAUAACUUCAGGAAACUGGGGCUAAUACCGGAUAGGAGCUCCUGCUGCAUGGUGGGGGUUGGAAAGUUUCGGCGGGUGGGGAUGGACUCGCGGCUUAUCAGCUUGUUGGUGGGGUAGUGGCUUACCAAGGCUUUGACGGGUAGCCGGCCUGAGAGGGUGACCGGCCACAUUGGGACUGAGAUACGGCCCAGACUCAUACGGGAGGCAGCAGUGGGGAAUAUUGCACAAUGGGAGGAAGCCUGAUGCAGCAACGCCGCGUGCGGGAUGACGGCCUUCGGGUUGUAAACCGCUUUCGCCUGUGACGAAGCGUGAGUGACGGUAAUGGGUAAAGAAGCACCGGCUAACUACGUG